GGGUUGUGAGGUUAAGCGACUAAGCGUACACGGUGGAUGCCCUGGCAGUCAGAGGCGAUGAAGGACGUGCUAAUCUGCGAUAAGCGUCGGUGAGGUGAUAUGAACCGUUAUAACCGGCGAUUUCCGAAUGGGGAAACCCAGUGUGAUUCGUCACACUAUCAUUAACUGAAUCCAUAGGUUAAUGAGGCGAACCGGGGGAACUGAAACAUCUAAGUACCCCGAGGAAAAGAAAUCAACCGAGAUUCCCCCAGUAGCGGCGAGCGAACGGGGAGCAGCCCAGAGCCUGAAUCAGUGUGUGUGUUAGUGGAAGCGUCUGGAAAGGCGCGCGAUACAGGGUGACAGCCCCGUACACAAAAAUGCACAUGCUGUGAGCUCGAUGAGUAGGGCGGGACACGUGGUAUCCUGUCUGAAUAUGGGGGGACCAUCCUCCAAGGCUAAAUACUCCUGACUGACCGAUAGUGAACCAGUACCGUGAGGGAAAGGCGAAAAGAACCCCGGCGAGGGGAGUGAAAAAGAACCUGAAACCGUGUACGUACAAGCAGUGGGAGCCUCUUUAUGGGGUGACUGCGUACCUUUUGUAUAAUGGGUCAGCGACUUAUAUUCUGUAGCAAGGUUAACCGAAUAGGGGAGCCGAAGGGAAACCGAGUCUUAACUGGGCGUUAAGUUGCAGGGUAUAGACCCGAAACCCGGUGAUCUAGCCAUGGGCAGGUUGAAGGUUGGGUAACACUAACUGGAGGACCGAACCGACUAAUGUUGAAAAAUUAGCGGAUGACUUGUGGCUGGGGGUGAAAGGCCAAUCAAACCGGGAGAUAGCUGGUUCUCCCCGAAAGCUAUUUAGGUAGCGCCUCGUGAAUUCAUCUCCGGGGGUAGAGCACUGUUUCGGCAAGGGGGUCAUCCCGACUUACCAACCCGAUGCAAACUGCGAAUACCGGAGAAUGUUAUCACGGGAGACACACGGCGGGUGCUAACGUCCGUCGUGAAGAGGGAAACAACCCAGACCGCCAGCUAAGGUCCCAAAGUCAUGGUUAAGUGGGAAACGAUGUGGGAAGGCCCAGACAGCCAGGAUGUUGGCUUAGAAGCAGCCAUCAUUUAAAGAAAGCGUAAUAGCUCACUGGUCGAGUCGGCCUGCGCGGAAGAUGUAACGGGGCUAAACCAUGCACCGAAGCUGCGGCAGCGACGCUGAUGCGUUGUUGGGUAGGGGAGCGUUCUGUAAGCCUGUGAAGGUGUGCUGUGAGGCAUGCUGGAGGUAUCAGAAGUGCGAAUGCUGACAUAAGUAACGAUAAAGCGGGUGAAAAGCCCGCUCGCCGGAAGACCAAGGGUUCCUGUCCAACGUUAAUCGGGGCAGGGUGAGUCGACCCCUAAGGCGAGGCCGAAAGGCGUAGUCGAUGGGAAACAGGUUAAUAUUCCUGUACUUGGUGUUACUGCGAAGGGGGGACGGAGAAGGCUAUGUUGGCCGGGCGACGGUUGUCCCGGUUUAAGCGUGUAGGCUGGUUUUCCAGGCAAAUCCGGAAAAUCAAGGCUGAGGCGUGAUGACGAAGCACUACGGUGCUGAAGCAACAAAUGCCCUGCUUCCAGGAAAAGCCUCUAAGCAUCAGGUAACAUCAAAUCGUACCCCAAACCGACACAGGUGGUCAGGUAGAGAAUACCAAGGCGCUUGAGAGAACUCGGGUGAAGGAACUAGGCAAAAUGGUGCCGUAACUUCGGGAGAAGGCACGCUGAUAUGUAGGUGAAGUCCCUUGCGGAUGGAGCUGAAAUCAGUCGAAGAUACCAGCUGGCUGCAACUGUUUAUUAAAAACACAGCACUGUGCAAACACGAAAGUGGACGUAUACGGUGUGACGCCUGCCCGGUGCCGGAAGGUUAAUUGAUGGGGUCAGCGCAAGCGAAGCUCUUGAUCGAAGCCCCGGUAAACGGCGGCCGUAACUAUAACGGUCCUAAGGUAGCGAAAUUCCUUGUCGGGUAAGUUCCGACCUGCACGAAUGGCGUAAUGAUGGCCAGGCUGUCUCCACCCGAGACUCAGUGAAAUUGAACUCGCUGUGAAGAUGCAGUGUACCCGCGGCAAGACGGAAAGACCCCGUGAACCUUUACUAUAGCUUGACACUGAACAUUGAGCCUUGAUGUGUAGGAUAGGUGGGAGGCUUAGAAGUGUGGACGCCAGUCUGCAUGGAGCCGACCUUGAAAUACCACCCUUUAAUGUUUGAUGUUCUAACGUUGACCCGUAAUCCGGGUUGCGGACAGUGUCUGGUGGGUAGUUUGACUGGGGCGGUCUCCUCCUAAAGAGUAACGGAGGAGCACGAAGGUUGGCUAAUCCUGGUCGGACAUCAGGAGGUUAGUGCAAUGGCAUAAGCCAGCUUGACUGCGAGCGUGACGGCGCGAGCAGGUGCGAAAGCAGGUCAUAGUGAUCCGGUGGUUCUGAAUGGAAGGGCCAUCGCUCAACGGAUAAAAGGUACUCCGGGGAUAACAGGCUGAUACCGCCCAAGAGUUCAUAUCGACGGCGGUGUUUGGCACCUCGAUGUCGGCUCAUCACAUCCUGGGGCUGAAGUAGGUCCCAAGGGUAUGGCUGUUCGCCAUUUAAAGUGGUACGCGAGCUGGGUUUAGAACGUCGUGAGACAGUUCGGUCCCUAUCUGCCGUGGGCGCUGGAGAACUGAGGGGGGCUGCUCCUAGUACGAGAGGACCGGAGUGGACGCAUCACUGGUGUUCGGGUUGUCAUGCCAAUGGCACUGCCCGGUAGCUAAAUGCGGAAGAGAUAAGUGCUGAAAGCAUCUAAGCACGAAACUUGCCCCGAGAUGAGUUCUCCCUGACUCCUUGAGAGUCCUGAAGGAACGUUGAAGACGACGACGUUGAUAGGCCGGGUGUGUAAGCGCAGCGAUGCGUUGAGCUAACCGGUACUAAUGAACCGUGAGGCUUAACCUUACAACGCCGAAG
Molecule: ribosomal RNA, 2924 nt
Filed under: Escherichia coli
Lineage: Bacteria; Pseudomonadati; Pseudomonadota; Gammaproteobacteria; Enterobacterales; Enterobacteriaceae
Description: bacterial LSU rRNA
Rfam family: Bacterial large subunit ribosomal RNA
Source: RNAcentral